UGGCAACGUAUCACUGGCCUUUGCCUAAGAAAGAAAUGGAACAGGCCAGACUAGGUUAGUCAUGUAUCUUACUUUACAGUCCUCUGUUUGAAGGGUUGCCAGUUCUCCAUUUGAAGGGCUGGUGGGUCCAAGCCCCAUUUAAAGAUGAAGAAUAGUGCAAAGGGAGAGCAGAGGCCUUUACGCUGCACAUCAACUAUUACCACAACUGGACACCAGCUGAGCAGCCACACAGCUCACCAGGUCACAGCUUCCUCCACUCUAACGGCAUGUAAUAUUACAAUACAAGGUUGCAUGUGGACAUAUAACUCAGCAUGCGCAACUGUUAUGUAACCAAUGUCCCCUUGUCUUUUUUUCAGUGAUGCAUUUCCACUUUAUUGGCAAUGUGUCAGUGGCUACCUUAGACCAUACUUGCCCAGAUUGUCUUCCCUUUGCCCAGCUCAAACUCUUACAAGAAUAGAUAUACAGAGUUGUGUGGGAUCUUGAGGUCAUAAGAGUCAUAAGGGUUGCCACCCGAAAUAUAUAUAAAAAAUAAUAAAUAAUUGUCCAGUAGCACCUUAGAGACCAACUAAGUUUGUUCCUGGUAUGAGCUUUCGUAUGCAAGCUCAUACCAGGAACAAACUUAGUUGGUCUCUAAGGUGCUACUGGACAAUUUUUUUAUAUAUUUCUACUGCGUCAGACCAACACGGCUACCUACCUGAAUCUAGGGUUACCACCUGUCCCUAGAAAAAUGGGAUCGUCCCGUUUUGGGACAAAAGUGUUCCCGGUCCCAUUUAGACUUCAAACGGGAUGCCUUUCUUCCCAUAUUCAAGCUCAGGCAGCCCAAAAUGGCUGUAAUAAUAAUAAUAAUAAUAAUAAUAAUUUAUUAUUUAUACCCCACCAAUCUGGCUGGGUUUCCCCAGUCACUCUGGGUGGCUCCCAAUAGAAUAUUGAAAACACGAUAAACACAUCAAACAUUAAAAACUUCCCUAAACUGGGCUGCCUUCCGAUGUUGUCUAAAAGUCAGGUGGUUGAUGAUUUCCUUGACAUCUGAUGGGAGAGCAUUCCACAGGGUGGGUGCCACUACCAAGAAGGCCCUCUGCCUGGUUGCGUUGCUGUUGGUGCGGCUGAUGAGGAGCUUGGACCAGCGUUGAGCGACAACACAGACCUCCUCUCCCUCUUUCCUCCCCUCUCACUGGUGUUCCUCCGCAGCUGCUACCUGCCAGGCUAGGAUGGCGCAGGCCCAGCGCCGCUUUGCCCCCUCUGCUGCCCCGAUCUGACAUCUCCUCCUCCCUCUUCUUUGUCCAUGCUCAAGUCUCUUUCACCACCAGCAUCGGCAAGAGGCUGGAGCAGCAGCUCAACUUGCCCAUGAGAACUGGCCGUCUACCCCUGGCCCCUGCCCAUCUAUGUGAGUCGAGGGGUAAAGUGGGGCUGGGGUGGUGAGAGGCUCAAUGUGGGGAACCCCCCUCCCAUGGUGUCAUGGGAGUGUGUGUGUCCUCCAGUCCUCACCCCGCCAACCUGUCUUUUAUUUUGCCUGACCAAAGGUGGCAGCCCCAGCUAGUCACAAACCCCACCCCAACCCACAACAAGAAUGUGAAAAAGAAUUGUGAUGAUUUCACAAGGUUACUUGACAUUGCAGGCCACAAUCCAGAGAAAAAUAAGCCACACUUAAGUUCCACAGGGCCAGUUGGUUGUAACCAAUUUUGGAGUGACUUUAGCACAGGCAUCUCCAAACUCGGCCCUCCAGAUGUUUUGGGACUACAAUUCCCAUUAUCCCUGACCACUGGUCCUGUUAGCUAGGGAUAAUGGGAGUUGUAGACCCAAACCAUCCGGAGGGCUGAGUUUGGGGAUGCCUGCUUUAGCAUAACUAACUUUCUUUCGACUUUGGGCCAUAAAUUUCAAGCAGCGUUGCAUCUAGACUGGGAUAUCAGAGAGGUAGGUCAUAUAUUUAGCAGGACACAAAUUAAAUCCGGGGUUGGAGACCUGUGAACUACAAUCCCCAUCGCCUCCAGCCAACAUUGCCAAUGGUCAGGGAUAGUGGGAGUUAUAACCCAAGCAUGUCUAGAUGUCUGAUGUCUUCAUAGGGCAGUCGGGUACCAUCUCAGUGACCUACCAGCACCUGGUGAAACAAAUAUAGUUUCACCUUUUUCCUAUUACCUUUUGGGAUACCAGCUAAGAAACUUACGAGCACGCCUGCCUGGAAAGUUCCAAGGCAGGGGUCAGCAAACUUUUUCAGCAGCGGGCCAGUCCACUGUCCCUCAGACUAUGUGGGGGGCCGGACUGUAUUUUUUUUGGGGGGGAAAGAACAAAUUCCUAUGCCCCACAAAUAACCCAGAGGUGCAUUUUAAAUAAAAGGACACAUUCUACUCAUGUAAAAACACACUGAUUCCCGGACCAUCUGCGGGCUGGAUUUAGAAGGCGAUUGGGCCGGAUCCAGCUCCCGGGCCUUAGCUUGCCUACCUGUGCUCAAAGGGCUUUUGCAGUGGAGGUGGAAAAUUCAGCACUUUCAGUGAUGAAACAAAAUACCGCGCCACCAGUGAUUGGAAAGGAAAUGACUCUUCCUCUUUGUUGAGUCUGCCAGUCAAGUAGAGAGGAAAUUAGGUCAGACCAAGAAGGAAAAGAGACAAGUAUUUGGAGAUCUCUUGACCUUUAAAGAAACACACCAGCGGCAUGAAAAGCUCACUCUGUUGUAGGAACAAGAGUUAGUUUAACUUCUAGCGCAGAAGGGACAUUCAGAAUUGCUGCUUGGAUUGAAGUAGCCUUCCUGGUGGCUGUUUAGAAGAUGUGUUCACUGUGUCCUUUUUAGAUUUAUUUUCUGGGUUUCAGGGUGCUGUAUGGAAGGAGCAGACGCUUGACAACCAUAUGUCAGGAGUGCUCUGAUGGUGUUUCCUGCUUGGCAGGGGGUUGGACUCGAUGGCCCUUGUGGUCUCUUCCAACUCUAUGAUUUUAUGAUUCUAUGACCCAUUUAUUGUCUGAACCAAAGUUUGGUUUCAGGAAGAUGUCCCUAUAAGAUCAAUACAAGCUUCUUAUAGGGUUCUUAUGUUCUUAUAGGGACAUCCAGGGUGCUUUCCAGACAACCUGUUUCUUGAUCCGUUUGCAGGGAGAUUAGAUGGUGUUGGCUAUUUAAUUGUAAUUUAUUCUGAUUUGCUUUUGGGGAGGUUAGAUGACACUGUGUCAAACCCCAAGUGUUAUCCCACAGUUUCCACUGCAUAUUCCUGUCACUUUCCAGGUCACAAAAUGUCUGAUAUUUUGGGGAAACAGGAGUAGUGCAAGACCACCCAACUGACUAUAAUUGCACAACCUGAAUUUUCAGGUAUGUGAGUAAAUCCCACCUGAAAAUAACUUAAUUAUUGGGCCUUUAGAGGAGCAGCUUGAUCAUCAGAUGCUAGCAAGUCAUAACACUUAUCUCUGCAGCUUGGAGAGCUCGAUGUGCUGGUUUCAGGUUGCUAUAAAAUAAAUAGGAGCGGAGCAAGUUUUACAUUUAGGUUUCAUAGCCACAGGAGUAUAACCGUUGCACUUCUCUUGCAGAGCAAAAGGCUAAGAACUGCUAUCAAAACUAUUUCCAGCAGCAUCAGUCUGCAGAUGUAGCCCAGCAUGUCUUCUGAAAUGCAUCAUGAUUCAUUCACUUUGGCACAGGUGGACAGGUGUGCCUUGGAGCAGAUGGGGUUUUAGCAAUUAAAGAGACAGGAGCCCUGUUAAAAUUAUUCACAUCAUCCUGGAGAUAUACUUAAAAGCAAACUAGUGAUUGAAACCAUGAUUCCAUUUGUCUAAAAACAUAAAAUACACACACGUGGCUAUUAAAUGUAAAUUAACUUUGUUGCAAGGCUAUGGGCAAAUAAUCAUUAAAAGUUAUAUCAGCCAAUA
This is a non-coding RNA of Podarcis lilfordi (Lilford's wall lizard), 3840 nucleotides long. Lineage: Eukaryota; Metazoa; Chordata; Lepidosauria; Squamata; Lacertidae. The record is from the annotation of a GenBank genome assembly.